UACGUAGGGGGCUAGCGUUGUCCGGAAUUAUUGGGCGUAAAGAGCUCGUAGGCGGUUCGUCGCGUCGGCUGUGAAAUCCCGAGGCUCAACCUCGGGUCUGCAGUCGAUACGGGCGGACUGGAGUUCGGCAGGGGAGACUGGAAUUCCUGGUGUAGCGGUGAAAUGCGCAGAUAUCAGGAGGAACACCGAUGGCGAAGGCAGGUCUCUGGGCCACUACUGACGCUGAGAAGCGAAAGCAUGGGGAGCGAACAGG
This 253-nucleotide ribosomal RNA is filed under the name uncultured bacterium. Its description in RNAcentral is "partial 16S ribosomal RNA". It matches the Rfam family "Bacterial small subunit ribosomal RNA", at positions 524 to 776 of the family's 1533-position model. The record is from RNAcentral.